AAAAUGCAGCAAUGAAAGGGUAGCUCCUAGUUUCUCUGUUCGACAUUCAGCUACAACCAUGUUGACAUGGACGUUGGUGGUUCUGUUCCUAGGCCUACUCUACUGGCUAUCCAGGAAACCAAGCAGUCUUCCACCAGGACGGUGGGGUCUCCCAAUAAUUGGAUACAUCCCUCUCUAUACCACUAAUGUCGGAAAUCUUAUCAGUGAUCUGAGGAAAAAAUAUGGAGACAUAUUUACCUGGAAGGUUGGCAGCCAAGUGAUGGUCGGCCUCUGCGACUAUGAGCUCAUCAAGACCACCUUCAAACAGGCCUGAAUGUCAGGGAAGGCCUUACUUGUUUUCUUUUGAAUUGAUAAGAUCACACAAAAACUCAGGAAUUGUGAAUGCAGUCGGUGACGUCUGGGUACAGGGCAGGAGGUUUGCCAUUAGACACCUGAAGGAUUUUGGCAUGGGAAAGUCUUCCCUUGAGGGCUUCCAUCCAGUAUGAGGCUCAGAACCUUGUAGAGACUUUUGAGAGGACAUCUGGGAAACCCAUAGAAAUAUCUUGGUGUCUCAAUGUUGCUGUGUUGAACGUCAUCUGGA
Macrobrachium nipponense is the source of this 580-nucleotide long non-coding RNA. RefSeq lists it as uncharacterized. The transcript has 4 exons. Lineage: Eukaryota; Metazoa; Arthropoda; Malacostraca; Decapoda; Palaemonidae. The record is from RefSeq and is a predicted model, not a curated record.